UACGUAGGGGGCAAGCGUUGUCCGGAUUUAUUGGGCGUAAAGAGCGUGUAGGCGGCCUGAAAGGUCAGCUGUGAAAACUCGAGGCUCAACCUCGAGACGCCGAUGGAAACCAUCAGACUAGAGUCCGGAAAGAGGAGAGUGGAAUUCCUGGUGUAGCGGUGAAAUGCGCAGAUAUCAGGAAGAACACCCGUGGCGAAGGCGGCUCUCUGGGUCAAGAUUGACGCUCAUGCACGAAAGCGUGGGGAGCAAACAGG
This 254-nucleotide ribosomal RNA is filed under the name uncultured bacterium. RNAcentral's name for it is "partial 16S ribosomal RNA". It matches the Rfam family "Bacterial small subunit ribosomal RNA", at positions 524 to 776 of the family's 1533-position model. The record is from RNAcentral.